GAAUAUUGGACAAUGGGGGCAACCCUGAUCCAGCGACGCCGCGUGUGUGAAGAAGGCCUGCGGGUUGUAAAGCACUUUUAGUGGGGAUGAAAAGCACAUCACUAACACUGGUGUGUCUUGACCUACCCCAAAGGAAAAGCACCGGCUAACUCUGUCCCAGCCGCCGCGGUAAUACAGAGGGUGCGAGCGUUAAUCGGAAUUACUGGGCGUAAAGCGUGCGUAGACGGUUAUCUAAGUCGGGUGUGAAAGCCCCGGGCUCAACCUGGGAAUUGCAUUCGAGUCUGAAUAGCUAGGGUACGGUAGAGGGAAGCGGAAUUUCCGGUGUAGCGGUGAAAUGCGUAGAUAUCGGAAGGAACAUCAGUGGCGAAAGCGGCUUCCUGGACCAGUACCGACGUUCAGGCACGAAAGCGUGGGGAGCAAACAGG
Molecule: ribosomal RNA, 425 nt
Filed under: uncultured bacterium
Lineage: Bacteria
Description: bacterial SSU rRNA
Rfam family: Bacterial small subunit ribosomal RNA
Source: RNAcentral